Molecule: ribosomal RNA, 324 nt
Filed under: uncultured eukaryote
Lineage: Eukaryota
Description: partial 18S ribosomal RNA
Rfam family: Eukaryotic small subunit ribosomal RNA
Source: RNAcentral
CCCUUAGAUGCUCUGGGCCGCACGCGCGCUACACUGGUCGAUGCAACGAGUUUCUUUCCUUGGCCGACAGGCCUGGGCAAUCUUUGAACAUCGAUCGUGAUCGGGAUAGAUUCUUGUAAUUUUUGAUCUUAAACGAGGAAUUCCUAGUAAACGCAAGUCAUCAGCUUGCAUUGAUUACGUCCCUGCCCUUUGUACACACCGCCCGUCGCACCUACCGAUUGAAUGGUCCGGUGAAAUCUCCGGACUGGCGUGAGUCGGAGCAAUCUGACAAACGCCGGAAAGUUGAUUAAACCUUACCAUUUAGAGGAAGGAGAAGUCGUAACA